This is a long non-coding RNA of Seriola dumerili (greater amberjack), 438 nucleotides long. RefSeq lists it as uncharacterized. The record is from RefSeq and is a predicted model, not a curated record. NCBI's taxonomy places the organism in Eukaryota, Metazoa, Chordata, Actinopteri, Carangiformes, Carangidae. The transcript is spliced from 3 exons.
UGGACCACUUCCUGUAAUUCCUAAUAGGGAAGUGACAUCUCAGCGUAACAAAUAUGGGCAAGGUGAAAGUGUCCCAAUUAUUUGUAAGGAAGGAUACAUCGCUCAGAUUAAUCACGUAACGUGUGUUGAGGGAAAAUGGCAUUCAGAUGGAACAUCACUCAAAACAAUCUGUGCACCUAUUGCCAGUCACUGUUCUCCCCCGCCUAAAGUUGAAAAUGCUGUUGCUGUGACUUCAUACCAGAGGGAAUACUUGUCUGGCUCUGAAGUAACUUAUCGAUGCCGUGAUCAUUAUACAAUGGAAGGAGACGCCACAAUUAUAUGCAACAAUGGGCAAUGGGAGGAGAAGAACAUUACAUGCACACCUCCCACUCUGGAACAGUGAUGCAGAUUUUCCUCGAGGUCCAAAAAAGUCUCAGUGAAAAUUCCCCCCCCCCCCCU